CUCAAACUAUAUGACUGCUUUUUCCUUGAGACAAAUACUCUACUCCCACAUGCAGCAGAAAUGCUUAUGUGUAAUGAAUUAAGAACAAUGGUUUAUGGAGUCUUUUGAUUCUUUGAUUCAUGUGCAAGUUGUUCUAACAAAAUACCAUAUGGCAUUUCAGUAAUCAAGUACUGGUUGGGUUUUACCCUUUAGCUUUUAGAGGCAAGAAACAAGUUUUAUAUCUGGAUAUUCUUCCACAGUUUGUGAUAAAAAGUUUGAUAAAAAGUCCACAUACACCUGGGAGGCUAAAUUACAACACAUGAAACUCCAUUUAUCCAGAAUCCUUAGAGCAGACAGCUAGGGUGAGCUUUGUGCAAAAAAAGCCUUUUUCAAUUUUAAGCAUUAAAAUUUCUUAUUACAAAAUUUCCUCCUAUAUUAGAGUAUAAGGAAAAUAAAAUUACUGUGUUAUGUUCAUCUUUAUAGGUAUGGAGUAUUAGGAUUUCCUCAGGGUUGCAGAAGGUUCUACAUCUUGCCACAAAAUAGUUCCAUGCUGCCAUACUACUCUGCUUACUGAAUUCUUAGAUUGCUUUUUAAUAGUUUUUGUUUUGUUUCAGUUUUGGUCAACUCUUUUAAGUUUUCACUUCCCACUGUCCUUAUUGUCAUUCUUUCUCUCCUUCUAUUUUCCACAUUUAAUAUCCUUUAGGAUGAAAACCCAGAUAAUCAAGCAUAGUUGAAAUUUGUUAAAAAAAGAAGACUUUACAGAGUCUGAGUUGGGGCUAGGGAUGCUCUCACAUCAAAACAGCACAGAAGUGCCUUGGCUUCAUGUUGGUGGCAGAAAGAAUAUAAACCUCUAUUUAUUACCGUUUAUAGAGUUGACCAUUGAAUAAUAAGGGUUUAAACUCUGUGGGUUCACUCAUUACUAGAAUUUUUUCAGUAGGUAUAUAAAUUUAUGGUAUCAACAAAUACAGUACAGUAUUCAAAAUGUAUUUUAAUAAGUAAUCCUUAUGACUUUAACAUUUUCUUUUCUUCUAGCUUAUUUGUUGUAGAAUACAGUAUAUAAUACAUAUGACAUACAAAAUGUGUUGAUCCACUGUUUAUGUUAAUAGUAAGGCUUCUGGUCAACUAUAGGCUAUUAGUUAAGUUUUGGGAGAGUCAAAAGCUAUAGAUUUUUGACUACACAGGCAUCAGUGGCCGUAAUUCCCUACGUGAUUCAACUCUGGACAAGUCAUGCAACUUCUGAGUCCCAGUUUCCUCAUUAUUAUAAAAUAGGAAUAACCUCAGCCUCACAACAUUGUUGCUAGGAUAAAAUCAACAAUUCUAGAAUUCUAUAUUUAAUGCAUAUAAAACCUCACAGGCUGUUGUAAAAACUAAACAGUGCGUGUAAAACAUGCAGGACACUGACAGCCAGCUGCCAUCUUGUGAGCUCAUCUAUGGAGAGGACUGUGUGGCAAGGAACUCAAGAUGUUCACAAAGAAAUGAACUCUACUGGCAACUACUCAGUGAGCUUGGAAGCAGAUCCUACCCCAACUGAACCUUGAGAGGAUUGUGGCCAUGGCUGACAGCUUGACUGCAACCUCAGGAGAGACCCUCAGCAAGAGGACCCAGCUAAGCUGUGCUGGAUUCCUGAGAAUUAAUAAAUGACUCUGGUCACAUAA
Canis lupus familiaris (dog) is the source of this 1634-nucleotide long non-coding RNA. RefSeq lists it as uncharacterized. NCBI's taxonomy places the organism in Eukaryota, Metazoa, Chordata, Mammalia, Carnivora, Canidae. The transcript has 2 exons. The record is from RefSeq and is a predicted model, not a curated record.